RNAcentral lists this ribosomal RNA (397 nucleotides) under uncultured bacterium. RNAcentral's name for it is "partial 16S ribosomal RNA". It matches the Rfam family "Bacterial small subunit ribosomal RNA", at positions 523 to 918 of the family's 1533-position model. The record is from RNAcentral.
AUACGUAGGUGACAAGCGUUAUCCGGAUUUACUGGGCGUAAAGGGCGUGUAGGCGGUCUUGCAAGUCAGAAGUGAAAUUCCUGAGCUCAACUCGGGCGCUGCUUCUGAAACUGCAGGACUUGAGUGCUGGAGGGGAUAGCGGAAUUCCUAGUGGAGCGGUAAAAUGCGCAGAUAUUAGGAAGAACACCGGUGGCGAAGGCGGCUAUCUGGACAUUAACUGACGCUGAGGCGCGAAAGCGUGGGGAGCAAACAGGAUUAGAUGCCCGGGUAGUCCACGCCGUAAACGAUGAAUACUAGGUGUAGGGGGUAUCGACUCCCUCUGUGCCGCAGUUAACACAAUAAGUAUUCCGCCUGGGGAGUACGGCCGCAAGGUUGAAACUCAAAUGAAUUGACGGGG